RNAcentral lists this ribosomal RNA (329 nucleotides) under Neocallimastigales sp. Its description in RNAcentral is "partial large subunit ribosomal RNA". Lineage: Eukaryota; Fungi; Neocallimastigomycota; Neocallimastigomycetes; Neocallimastigales. The record is from RNAcentral.
UGUUGUUUUUCCGAAAAUCAAUUACGAAUGUUUUGUUUUUAAGAAGUUAUGACUUCAUCGGCUUGCUUCUUUCUUUACGAAACUUUCUUAAUGCACUUUUCGGUUAACAAGUCAACAUCAAUUUCUUUUGUUGUAAAAGGGUAUGAGGAAGGUGGCUUUCUUUUCGGAGAAAGUGUUUAUAGCCUUGUGCCUCUGCAAUCGGAGAGAUUGAGGUCUGCAGCGUAGAUCCUUCGGGGUUAGAUACGUUUGUGCUAAGUUAUAGCUUUUCAUAGACAACUUGUUGACUAUGUUUAGUCUUGUAGCUUACUCGCUGACGCUAUUUUACCUAC